Molecule: ribosomal RNA, 253 nt
Filed under: uncultured bacterium
Lineage: Bacteria
Description: partial 16S ribosomal RNA
Rfam family: Bacterial small subunit ribosomal RNA
Source: RNAcentral
UACGUAGGUGGCAAGCGUUGUCCGGAAUUAUUGGGCGUAAAGCGCGCGCAGGCGGUCUCUUAAGUCUGAUGUGAAAUCUCGCGGCUCAACCGUGAGCGGUCAUUGGAAACUGGGAGACUUGAGUGCAGAAGAGAAGAGCGGAAUUCCACGUGUAGCGGUGAAAUGCGUAGAGAUGUGGAGGAACACCAGUGGCGAAGGCGGCUCUUUGGUCUGUAACUGACGCUGAGACGCGAAAGCGUGGGGAGCGAACAGG